GUAUGACUGCUUUGAAGCCGUGCUUCUCCGAAUAUGGCUUUAAUUAAAUGCCUUCCGGCUGUAAAAGAUUACAUGUUGUGCAAAAUAUAUCCUAGCAUGAAAUUUACUUCCACGAUACGAAAUUAGGUUACUUAUAAAUGUCUUCAUUUAAAAAAGAAAAUCGCUUCUCCUCGUUCUGUUUUCUGUUUUGUUAAACAGAGAUCUCAAACGAGGAAAGAGGGUAGAGAUAAUAUAUUUAUAGAGGCACGUGUAACAAAACCUGCCAGAAGCGGAGUGGGUGAGGGCUGCUUGCUCAAAUGCAGACAAUUCACAAAACAGGCAAGUUAAUCCAGAUCUGAUUUGUUUCAGAUCCAGCUGUCAGAAACCCGGAAUACCUCCCGCGCCUCACGCCGCAGAUACCGAACGUGUUCUUACCGCCCACGUCCCCCAGCGUCCCUUCCUCCUGCCUUUAUUCCGUGAGAGGUCGAGGGGAGAGGGGUCAGGGCAAACAGGUGGAGAAAGGUGACUAUCUCAACUCGUGAAAUAUAAUAAUUCUUGCGAUAUGGAGGAUAACGCCUCCAUAUCGCAACGCCUUGGUUACACUAGGACCAGUCAGUCCGGCAAAGCAGUUUCACUCUGCCAGUGAAACCGCGCUCAGUGUCAGGAGCCUUCCCGCUCCGGACGGUGGAUGCAGGAGGAAUUCAGGCUGCUGGAGGCGAUGCUCUGUUUUCCGCUGAGACCCUGACAAAAGAGGCUGUAGCUCGAUCCAGAUGCGAGAUAAACGUAUAAAGCAAGCUCAUUACACGGGAAUAAGUGAAGAACUCUCCUUGCAAUCUACUCUAGAUAACGAGUCUGCCCGAAGAAACAAGUAAAGCCGAGAUAUUUACUUCUCUUCCUAAUAAAUAAACCUUAAUAACUGCAUUGACUUUGCGCAGUGUUUACUACAUUUCCAUUCAUUGCUUGGGUAAAUGCAUCCCUAAAGGCAGAGUAAAUAAUUGCAGUGAUCUCAACAAGGGAAAUGUGUAGACAUUUGAAGUGUACUAAAAAUAAACGAAGGCAAAGAGACUGAAGAGAGAGGACACCGCGCCGUUUGCCGUAAUUAAAGCCUCUGCUUUCUCUCGCUGGAAUCCGAGACUUCCAGAGCGCAGCCGGGGUGACACGUUCCCCGCUGGUGUCACCGGCUCGGCACACGAGUGGCCGUGGGGAGCCGAGGCUGAACCCGGCGUGUCUGGGCUCGGGAGGGCUCGGCGCGGCGCUUGGCUCGGGGGUGAGACUGGCCGCUACCGCAGGAGAAAUCGCAGCCUCUCUGAUGAUUUAAAAGAGCCUCGAGUUUCCAUUCUCCUCUGAGCCCUUCCAAGAUGGGCAUUUAAGAGUGGUGGCGGGUUGGGGUUUUUGUUUUGUUUUGUUUUUAGUUUUUAAUUGCAUUUCAUCUUGUUCUGCCAGAUAAAGGUUUUUUUAUUUCAUUGUUGUUAGGAUUCUUUUUCUUUCAUUUGAAAAGAAAACAAAACAACAUAAGUCCCCGCUAAAACAAACAUCUGCUUCAGCAGCACCCGGGCAGGCGGGGACUCCUGCCAAGUGAAAGCCUCACAGGCGGAGGUCUGCAAACCUGCGGCUGCGUUCGGGGAGGUCCCCCGACCCUCGGAGGGGAAGAUCUCCCCACACCGCUGCCACGUAAGGGUCCCAGCGGAGGGGCGAAGGAGGCACAGCCAAGCGCUCAGUCUCUCUGCGGGGCUCGCGUACAUCCAGACCAGGCUCGCCGUAUGGGCAGAGGGAGAGACCUGUCAGCGGGAUUUCACUGAAGGCGGUGUGGGUGCACACCUGACCAGGUGCGGGAGGAGGCGGGUGGCCAGGGCCUCCGCGGGGGUACCUGCCUCCAGCUGAGCAGCCACUCGCUUGAAACCUAAUUGCAUUUUAAAGCAGGUAUACACUCCCCCCCUCCCCCCCAUACACAUACCCCCCAUCAGGGACAACAACCAACGACAACAACACAACAAAACAUUAACCAAACAAAAAGCUCCAAUCUGCGACUCUCUGCGGAGCCACACGUUGAAUGAAUCUAUCUGUAAGGUUUUAAUCACAGCCAAGGCUUCGCUACAAAUCUGUACAAGAGACAGUGGCUGGUUCUCUCUGGAUCUUUCCCCUUCUGACUCCUAUUAUUUUGACCCAGGCUACAAUAUAGAAAGCGGCGUGUGUGAUCCAUCUGCAAGGCUGGGCUGGGGUUUACCUCCCCCUCUGCUUCCCUGCCACUUCCUUCACACUCGCGGACCUUUCCAGCUGCUGUGGCCGGUGUGAGACAGAAAGCGCUCUCCCGGACUCUGGUGUGAAUUGGGGAGAGGGGAUACACAAUCCCAGAGCUCAGCCCUCAGCCCGUGCACACUCCUUCUGGAGGAACGUCGCCCGAGGAACGCCGUCAGCCCUCGCACCUCUCCCCAUGAACCAAAAAACAAGAUCAACCACCCGAAAGAGGGACUCCGCUUGCAGAGCCCACCCUAGCCAACACCUCAGCAGAACUUCCCGGGAAGGAUGGGAUGAGAAACAGAACGGGAAUGUUUGUUUUCCCCUGUUGUUGUUAUUGAACGCAUGAAUGAAUGAAUGGAUGACUGAAUGAAUGGAAGCUGCUCGGAGGCAUAUAGGAAGCUUCUGACCGCUUACACUAACUUCCUAUUACACCCUAAAAAUAGAAUCCCGUUUCCUGUUUGUCAGCUCCUUCUAACUGUUGUGUCUGUUGUGUGACAUCUUUCGACUCACAAAUGUGACCUUAAACCACGCAAACACACUUUGGCCCUUUGAAAGCGGUACCCACAAACAUCAUUAAAGUGACGCGGUUUAAGGUGACACCGAGGACCGGUCGUACGAAGUCACCCAGUCCUGGGGCACAGGGAGCCCGGUGCGUGGUGCCACGCUCUCCACCCGCCAGCGGGGCAGGCAAGGACGGCGGGGGAGAAGGGAAGGGAGGUUAGCAUUGCCCCAGCGGCUCUCAGCCAGCCCGGGCGUGGAGAGAUACUGGCCCUAAUCCUGCUCGGGAUGCAAAGGCCUCCUUGCUCUCCAGACGAGCGAGGGUGACUUGCGGAGAACAUUCCCUGGGGAUAUUAUACCGGGGGGUGAGGAGAGGGAAAGCCGGCCAGGGAUGCGCGGUGGUACUGACGGUCCGGAGGGAAUAGAGCGCAGAGCAGGGCACAGGGUAUAUCCCCAUCGCCCCCGACCGGGGCUGCAACCCAGACCUCCGGGAACUCGGGCUCGGCCGUUGAAAGAGCGGGGAAGCCAGGAAAGGGGGGUCACAUGCGGUUAAUUCCUGCUGCCUUUCCCGGGGACGGACGUGUGCUCACAGGAGGCCGUGCAAGGGUCCCGCCUCAGGACAGUCCCAAGCCUCCCCCUAACUCGCACGUUGCCCCGUCCAGCCAGGCUCCUGGCCCGUCCGGCCCCGCGCAGCUCUCGGGUAGCUCAACUGAGGCAAGGCAGCUCCCCUCGUGGGCUCCCGCUCCCCACUCGUGACUUCUGCCUGCUCCCUUUCGGAGGCACUUGAGGGCGAGGGGACUAGGAUGUGUAGGGUGCCCGUCCCCACCCCUUUUUCACGAGUCACCCACCCUGGGAAGUGAGCUCUCCACUGUUCUGAUGCAUCCAGAGCUAUUGAUUCAGGUCUAAUUUCUCCAGAAAGAGGCCAGUGAUGGAGAUCGGCUGCACGCAAAUGGGAGCCAGGGAGGUCCGGUGCCCGGCAGCGCAGGCUCCCCAGCGGGCAGGGACCUCCCGGGUGCCCUGGCAUCCCCCGCCAGAGCGCGGGCCCGGGACCUGCCUGAACCUCGGAAAAGAAAUAUCCCUGCAAUUGCGCUUCUGCCAGGGCAUGGCUCGAGCUCCUAUUGCUCCCCAACUCCCCCAUCUCCCCCCACUCCGCCCUCCCCCCGCGACCCCCGGUGGGCCUAAUUAAAUUGGGGAAAAUUAUCGGUGUGAGGUUGGACGGAGUCAACUGUCUUGACGACAGACGAGGAUGACUGAGCACCGCGGGGGAAGAGCAGCGCCGGGUUUCCAGCUCUUCCCUCCGGCCGGCGCCCACUGACGGCUCGGCGGGGGCUCCGCAUCCCCGCGGCGCCGCCGCUCCCCCUGGCCCACAUCCGGAGCCGCUGCUCGUCCCGCUCGCCCCACCGCAUCUCGCCUGUCAUCUAGGCUGAACGAGAGAUGCGUAUGCAACUCCGUUUGCUGUCUAUCGCAGGAAGCAGUUCCUGCAGAUUCUCCCUGUGCUUUCGUCUCCUUUUUGUCUGACUCAGACCCUUAUUCCCUUCGCCAAGGCGGCAUACAGGUAUUAUUUCAAAGCGGUCUCCUCUUCUGCCCAACUUUCUCCCAUUCCGGGGUUAGCAUCCAUUAUGAGGCAGGAAUUAUUUCGAAACAAGAAAGCAACGUGUUGCAAACACUCCCCAGCCUAUUUUCUGGCAUCUUUUGUUAUGCAUGCUCUUGCUGCUAGGGAAAAUGCUAGUAUGUGCACCUGCGGAAAAAAAAACCGCCUUCAUGAUGUUAACAGCAAGCUGGAGGGUAUAAAGCAAUAAAACUGCCAAAUGUACCUGUUCCUGUUGAGUACAUUACCUACACCUAUGAAUAAAGAGUCUCAGUAGGAAUUCUUUCCUUUCUCUUCCCCUUUUCUCUAUAUUUUUAUUCAUUGUAGAUUUGUAAACGCCUGGAUCGGGUUACCCUUUCGCGUGUUAAAGUGGAACCCUUGUUAAAAGCCGGAGAACAAGGCAAGACACUUACAACUGCAUUCAGAGUUACUGAACCGACUCCAAGGGCUCAAGAAGUGAAACAACGAUGAGAGGAUGGCUAAGGGGGCUCCGAACAUCCCAGACACACAGGGGAAAAAAAAGACAUCCCUCCCCCAUGCCCCCCUGAAACAAGCCAUAUGAACUACAAGCGCCGAGAGACUACGGGUUAUGCCCUUCCACCGACAGAGCAUCGCUUCGCAUCCUCCUUCCCCCUCCUCCCCCCCCCCCCCCGCCCCUCCAACGGUAUGCGAAGAAGGGGCUUGCAUCCUUCGGCUUCCCAGAGCUAAUGGUCGGGCUGUGGGGAAGCACAACUCCAAAAUAAAGGAAGAAAUGAAAAAGAGAAAAAAAAAAUCCAGAAAGAAAAAUUAAACCCCUUAAAGUAUUUCCACACGCGACGCGUUAAAUAUAUAUAUAUAUAUAAACAUCUGCAGAAUCUGAAAACCAAUCCUCAGGGAAUGUCGCAGUGAGAGGCAAUGUCAAGACCUAGGAUCGGUCAGGGGACGUCUCUGGGCUGCGCGAGGUUUUGGAAGCAGCGGCUGCUGGUACCGGUGUUGGUUUUCAAAGCCCGAAGCCUCCAGCCCCUUUCCCCAUCUAGAGCAACUUUCAGAUUUCUCUAGGCUUAGCGAGUCCCGCAGGGUCCU
Long non-coding RNA from Prinia subflava (tawny-flanked prinia), 5365 nucleotides. RefSeq lists it as uncharacterized. NCBI's taxonomy places the organism in Eukaryota, Metazoa, Chordata, Aves, Passeriformes, Cisticolidae. The transcript is spliced from 3 exons. The record is from RefSeq and is a predicted model, not a curated record.